GUCCGCACUGUAAAACGAUGAUUACUCGCUGCUAGGGGGCAACUCUUAGUGGCUUAGCGAAAGCGAUAAGUAAUCCACCUGGGGGAGUACGCCGGCAACGGUGAAACUCAAAGGAAUUGACGGGGGCCCGCACAAGCGGAGGAGCAUGUGGUUUAAUUCGAUGAUACGCGAGGAACCUUACCAGGGCUUGAAAGUUAGUGACCGCCUCUGAAGGAGGCUUUCCGCAAGGACACGAACUAGGUGCUGCAUGGCUGUCGU
RNAcentral lists this ribosomal RNA (258 nucleotides) under uncultured bacterium. RNAcentral describes it as "partial 16S ribosomal RNA". It matches the Rfam family "Bacterial small subunit ribosomal RNA", at positions 793 to 1055 of the family's 1533-position model. The record is from RNAcentral.